RNAcentral lists this ribosomal RNA (494 nucleotides) under uncultured bacterium. RNAcentral's name for it is "bacterial SSU rRNA". It matches the Rfam family "Bacterial small subunit ribosomal RNA", at positions 903 to 1397 of the family's 1533-position model. The record is from RNAcentral.
AAAGGAAUAGACGGGGGCCCGCACAAGCAGCGGAGCAUGUGGUUUAAUUCGAAGCAACGCGAAGAACCUUACCAGGGCUUGACAUCCCUCUGACGUACUUAGAGAUAAGUAUUUUCUUCGGGACAGAGGAGACAGGUGGUGCAUGGUUGUCGUCAGCUCGUGUCGUGAGAUGUUGGGUUAAGUCCCGCAACGAGCGCAACCCUCAUUUUCAGUUGCCAGCAAUAAGAUGGGCACUCUGGAGAGACUGCCGGGGACAACUCGGAGGAAGGUGGGGACGACGUCAAAUCAUCAUGCCCCUUAUGUCCUGGGCUACACACGUGCUACAAUGGUCAGAAACAAAGGGAAGCGAAGCGGUAACGUGGAGCGAAUCCCAGAAACCUGAUCUCAGUUCGGAUUGUGGGCUGCAACUCGCCCACAUGAAGUCGGAGUUGCUAGUAAUCGCGAAUCAGCAUGUCGCGGUGAAUACGUUCCCGGGCCUUGUACACACCGCCCGU